UACGGGGGGGGCAAGCGUUGUUCGGAAUUACUGGGCGUAAAGGGCUCGUAGGCGGCCAACUAAGUCGGAUGUGAAAUCCCCAGGCUUAACCCGGAAAGGUCAAUCGAUACUGCGGGGCUAGAGUGCAGAAGGGGCAACUGGAAUUCUCGGUGUAGCGGUGAAAUGCGUAGAUAUCGAGAGGAACACCUGCGGCGAAGGCGGGUUGCUGGGCUGACACUGACGCUGAAGCGCGAAAGCUAGGGGAGCGAACGGG
RNAcentral lists this ribosomal RNA (253 nucleotides) under uncultured bacterium. RNAcentral describes it as "partial 16S ribosomal RNA". It matches the Rfam family "Bacterial small subunit ribosomal RNA", at positions 524 to 776 of the family's 1533-position model. The record is from RNAcentral.